AAUAAGAAGACAUUGAAUUGGUCUAAUUCUUCGCAUACUCCCACUCCCUCCGUUAAACAAAGGUUUAAUUCUUCAGUUCUAGUCUCUCCAAGAAAAGUAAAAAUAAAAAAGAAGAAAAUAAGAUUCAUAUUCAAAGGUAACAAUAAGUUGGACGCGCAUAGAGGGGCAAUUCCUGUUUGACCCUCUUUGUUUAUUUGGAACAUUUCAAAACGAGGACUUAUAAUGUGAGAAAGCCAUGCAAUCAAUUUUAAAUAAACAUCAAAGACUUGCUCCACACUGCUAUUAUAAAUCAAUCUUUCACUUCAUCCCCAGCAAAGCGUUGCGACCUGAAAUGGCUUUAACUAGCUCACUAUUGUUCACCAUCAUCAUCAUCAUUGCAUUUCCAGUUUCAACCACAGCCCAACAAUCAUCCAACCGCAACAUAACUCUGGGUUCGUCCAUCGUCGCAAACGCCGACGCCAGUCACACGUGGACGUCGCCAUCCGGCGAGUUUGCUUUCGGGUUCCGGCAGGUUGCGCCUGGAGCCUUCUUACUCGCCAUCUGGUUCGACCAAUUACCUGACAAAACCCUUGUUUGGUCGGCCAACCGCGACGCUCCAGUUCCCACAGGAUCCACUGUCCAGCUUUCUACAGAUGGAUCGUUGGUGCUCAUUCAUCAGAGAAGCGGAGGGAUAUGGCGGGCUGACCCCUCUCAGCCAGGUAGGGUGGCCUACGCCGCCAUGCUCGACACCGGUAACUUCGUGCUCGCCACCAACAUUUCCUCCAUCUUGUGGGGGAGUUUUGAUCAGCCCACUGAUACCUUAUUGCCCACCCAAUUACUAAACAGAGACGUUGCUCUAGUUUCCACGGUUUCGGAGACGAAUUACUCCACCGGAAAAUUCAGGAUGAGGUUGCAGACCGACGGGAAUCUGGUGCUCAACACCGUAGCAUUCCCCUCGCCGGAUCCUUAUUGGUCAUCACAGACACAGACUCUUGAAAGCGGAGUCCGAUUGUUGUUCAACCAGUCCGGCAGCAUCAUCUUCAUCAGGCAAAAAUGGGACCCUAAUCCGACCUCUAUUCAACAACUCCGAUCUAGUCGGGCAGUUCCACCAGAGACUGACGCUGGAAUACGACGGAGUUCUCCGCCGCUAUGUGUAUCCCAAGUCAGCUAAUUCAUCCAUGGCGUUUGCGUGGACAGCCCGUGGUUUUGUCCCUUCCAAUAUAUGUCGUGCUGUUAGGAAGCACACACGGNUAUAUAUAUAUAUAUAUAUAUCUCUAUAUAUAUAUAGGGUGGGGCUAACGGUAAAAACAGCUCUUAAAAUAAAAAAUGCGAACCAGACAAAAAUGUAUGUAAUUUUAUGUAGAACACGUAUGAAUUCUCUGUAUAAUGGUAUGAAUUCGAAAAAUAAUUUUUUGCUCCCUCUGGGAUUCGAUCUCAGGAUCUGCAUUCAUCCACCAAUGUGAUGCAUCCAUUGUAGAUCUUGAUGAUCUAAUGGCUUAAAAUGGUUCUUCUUUUAUUUUAUUAGUGGUUUUUAUUUGAACCUCUCCCCUCUCUUUCUAAUAAUAUAUAUAUAUAUAUAUAUAUAUAUAUAUAUAUAUAUAUAUAUGAUUGAAUAUGAUUUCAAAUUUGACGAUGUUGUUUAAAGUUUGAGACGAGAUUAUUCUCAUAACUUAAUUAUAGUUUCACAAAUUCUAGAGAAAAUGAUACUCACAAGUAAGUUAUAAUCUUCAAGCUCCAUACAAGAUGAUGUUCAAAAUUCAGAUGUGGUAUUUCAAACUCCAAAGAAUAUGAUUUUUAAAAUUUUAACGUUCAAAUGUUAUAUGUGGUCUUUAGAGCUUCAUAUGAUUAUCUGGUCUUAUUAGGUCCAUAUGAUGAUACUCAGAUGACAUAUGUUUAGUUAAAUUAUUUCUUAUCCGUCAAAUUUAAAGAAUUUGAACAAACUUAAUACUCCAUCCGUCCCCCAAACAUCUUCCUAAGAGAGGAUGACACGAGUUUUAAUAAAAGUUAGUUAUUUAUUUGAUAAGUGGAGAAUGUGUCCCACAAAAAGUGAAAUUAUAAAAGUGAUAGUUAGUGAAAGUGGAGAACGAGUCCCACAAAAAGUGAAAUUGUAAGAAUAAUAAUUAGUGAAAUUGUUUCCAAAAAUAGGUUAGGAAGAUGUUUUGGGGACGAACCAAAAUAGAAAAAAAAAAAAAAAAAAAAAGAAAAUGUUUGAGGGACGGAGAGAGUAAAUAUUAUCGAUAUACGAUUAACAGCAGAUGCGACACAUCAAUCGUACAUCAUAUCAUACUUUAAAUUUACAUAUUUUUUUCUUCUAAAAUCUUCAAUCCCACAUCAACUUUUUAUAAACUUCAUCAAAUGAAUAUUUAUAUAAAAAUGUAUUUCUAUUAUCACAACCUACAUUUAAUUGGCGAAAGUGAUAAGAUUAAUAUUAUUUCAAAUAAUGUAUUACUAAUUUAAUUUGAUCAUAUCAAAUUAAUUAAAAAAUAAUUUAUAUAUAAACUAUUUCAUAUAUAUACUAUAGUAAUAAAAAUAACAUAAAAUAAUUAUAAAUGAUGACAUAAAAUAAUUUUCGUCGAAUUUCGACGGGUUAGACGCUAGUAAUAAAUCAAAUAAGAAGACAUUGAAUUGGUCUAAUUCUUCGCAUACUCCCACUCCCUCCGUUAAACAAAGGUUUAAUUCUUCAGUUCUAGUCUCUCCAAAGAAAAGUAAAAAUAAAAAAGAAGAAAAUAAGAUUCAUAUUCAAAGGUAACAAUAAGUUGGACGCGCAUAGAGGGGCAAUUCCUGUUUGACCCUCUUUGUUUAUUUGGAACAUUUCAAAACGAGGACUUAUAAUGUGAGAAAGCCAUGCAGUCAAUUUUAAAUAAACAUCAAAGACUUGCUCCACACUGCUAUUAUAAAUCAAUCUUUCACUUCAUCCCCAG
This 2900-nucleotide long non-coding RNA is filed under the name Salvia miltiorrhiza (redroot sage). RNAcentral describes it as "long non-coding RNA (SMIL_LNC005636)". Lineage: Eukaryota; Viridiplantae; Streptophyta; Magnoliopsida; Lamiales; Lamiaceae. The record is from RNAcentral.